CGUUAAUUUCCUAUGUCAUAAUGUUGUGGAAUAACUUCAGAAAGUCCUAUGAAUCAAAAGUCAUUGACUAGUAACUUUUUUCUUAAACUUUUUAUUUUGAAAAACAGUAAGUUGAAGAAAAAGGGAGGAAUGCAUGUGAACUUCACUUGUGUUCAGGAAUUAACACUCUACGAUACUAGUCCCUGUGUGUGAACUGUGUGCAUGGAGUGUGUGCUGUGUGUGCAUAGCUGUGUGUGGGAGCACAUGUUAGUGUGUGCAGGGCAUAUGUGUGCUAUGCAUUGUGUGCAUGCACAUUCAUGUGCUAGUGUGUGUGUAUUUGUGUUGUGUAUGUGCAUAUGUUAGAGUGUGUGCUGCACAUAUGUGUUCACCUGUGUGUUCGCUGGAACCACUUGCAAGUUGGUUGCAGACUAAACUGGGCCCCAAAUACAUCAGCACAUCCUGCUCAGUCGAUCCCGUGUUGCCAUGUGAGGUCACGGAUCUUGGGCAUUUAAGUGGGUGGAGCAGGCUGUCCUAACAGAGUCUGUCUCCCCGCCAUGGUAGCUGUCUCAGUAAUGUCCUUCACAUCUUCUCUAAGCCCCAUUCGAGGUUCCACUUGGGCCCCCAUUGCAUUCAGCCACCUCUCCCGGAUCUCCUUUAAGCCACAAUGUCGUGAUGGGAGAGCCUGGCCAGGGCUGUGGACCCCCCUUCUGUGGCCCUUGCCUCCAGGCCCCGAACGUGGCUCCUGUGUCCGCAUCAGUCAGCACAGCCCCGACUGGGAUCAGCCACACAGCCUCCUUCCUUGGAGGGUCCUGAAUCCAGUCAAGGGGUUGAUUCUCCCAAAAUUCAGCAUGAGAAGUGGGGGUUGAUAGACCCCCUGGGUGUGAGAUCCUGUGCUUUUGAAAGAGCAGGCAGUGGGCAUGUGGGAUGGAUAUGGGCCAGCCGAAGGGGACAGGCGGGCUGCAGGUGGAAACAGGCAAGUGCCCAAGGAGCUCGGGCUCUGGGUUCCCCAGUUGAGCAGCUUCUGUGCCCCAACCUCUCCCUGUGAUCCCCCCACUCUGCACAUGUUGCCAUGAAGCAGGACCUGGGGGCCAGGCUCUCAGUACCCUGAACACACUCCACCCGGACUGUGCGGGACCGUCCUGCCCAGCUUCCAGGGCAGCCACUCCUGAGGAGACCAGGAUGCUGGCAUCAGGCCACAUCUGGUCUGUCCUUGCUGGAGCCUAGGCUGCACUAUGAAAAGCUCCUGGCUGAUGCCUGGGUCCUGACCGUCAUGUGGCCAGAGAAAUUGGGAACAUUUUGCUUUGCAUGGUGAAAUGUUUAGUGACAGAGAGACUGUGCAGUUGCCUGAGGAGGGUGAGGUGUAGAGCCCAGUGUGGAUUUAUUCACCAAGAAAUGGACAUCCUACUUCCCACAGGAGGCUGAGCCCCUGUCCAAAGAUGAGAGACUCCACGUGGGUGACCUGUGCCUCCCAGGGGAGCAGCCCUAAGCCAGUUUAAACCUGACCAAGUUCUGUGGACACAGUAGAUUUAGACCUCUCCAUGUGCUGUCUACACUGAGUGUGUUCAGACCUGACCAUGUGCUGUCUACAGUGAGAACACUUAGAUUGACAGGUUCUGCCCACGCUAGGAUGUGGGGGCCUGGGUGGAGACCCAUCCUCAGUCUUGGAGCUUCAGGGCGAUGUGGGGACCUGAGGAAGACCUGGCCUCAGUCCUGGGAAGUUCCACGCCUCUGUCUGAAUGUCAGUGCUUAAGUGUUGGGUCUAGAGUUAUGCGGGCUUGUCUGUUAGCAGUGUCUGCUCUGAACAUGGUGACCUGGCCUCCCAGGGGUCAGUGCCAUGGGAGGGCCCAAGUCCUACCCCUGCAAUGGCCACCUUCCCUUGGGGUUGGGUGCAGACCCCUCACCUGGGCUACCUCACAAUGACUCCCAUUCAGCAGCACACACAGGGCGAGGAGGGGGCAGGUUUCCCUGGUAAACUGAUUGCUGGGCUCGUGGAUCUCCAUUUAAGGCCAAAGGGCAGCAGGUGAGGCGGCCUUUAGAGUCUCCUUCCCACUUGGCCGAGCCCAGACCUGCGUCUUCGCUUUCAGCUCUGCUGUCCCACGAGUUUUCUCAUCACCUCAGUGAGACGAAAGGGCUGAGCCUGCCAGAGUCAAGAGUGUUCCCAAGACUCCACGAAGGUGGCGUGAUGGGAGGCCUGGGACCCCAGAGGCCAUGUUCCUGUCCGGAAGCUCAGGCAGCACAUCCACCCUGGACUCCAGAUUCACCCCGCGUCUCUGCCAUCUCCCUCUGUCAUGUCUUGAACCCAGGAAAACAACGUGAACUGAUCAUUUUCCACAAUAUAGGCCUGGUCAUGUCAGAAUCAGGGCCUCUAAUUUAGGCGUCCUGGAAUAGGAGCUGUUUUGGGGCCUAAAGAGGGAACAGCUAAUGAGUUAAAAUAUUUUCAGGUGAAAUUAAUAUUCAAUGAUUAGAUUACUGGAAUAGGAGCUGUUUUUAGGCCUAAAGACGGAACAGCUAAUGACUGCAAAACAUUUUCAGGUGAAAUUAAUAUUCAAUGAUUAGAUUACUGGAAUAGGAGCUGUUUUAGGCCUAAAGAGGGAACAGCUAAUGACUGCAAAACAUUUUCAGGUAAAAUUAAUAUUCAAUGAUUAGAUUACUGGAAUAGGAGCUGUUUUAGGCCUAAAGAGGGAACAGCUAAUGACUGCAAAACAUUUUCAGGUGAAAUUAAUAUUCAAUGAUUCUAUUACUCAGCUGUUGACUUCUAUUAGUCAUAAUUCUCCUGGUUUUAGAUCUGAUGUGGAGGUUUAAAUCUUCCCCAUCUGUGUAUUUGUAGCUUCAGGGUCAUUGAUGACCUGUGGUUUUUAGGGAGGAGUGACUGAUUUCAUGUAUCAUGUAGAGGACUGGCAAUGCGGAUGGGAAGUUAAGAUUAGAACAGUGGGAGUUCCCGCUGUGGCGAAACGGGAUCAGCAGCGUCUCUGGAGCAAUGGGAAGCGGUUUCCAUCCCCAGCCCAGCACAGUGGGUUAAGAACCCAGCAUUGCCACAGCUGCAGCAUAGGCUGCAUCUGCAGCUCAGAUCUGAUCCCUUGCCUGGGAACUCCAGGUGCUGCAGUGUGGCCAGAAGAAGAAAAAAAAAAUGGAUCCCAGAUCAUGAUGUAGGCCAUGGAAGGUGUCAUGAAUUCCCUCUCGCUGUAACGGGAAGCCAGUAAGGCAUUUAAGAGCCAGAGUCACAUGAUUAGAUUGACUUGAGGGGCAGACAUAGGCACAAUCGUGAUGUAUCUGUGAAAUGUAAGAAUUCCGCCCUGACCUGAAUAGAAGACGGCCACUAGAAAAUCAGGAAAAAUGGGGUCAUGGUAGAUAAUGCCACCCAGAAAUGGGUUUAGACUUUACGUAAUUUUUUUUUAAAGUUUAGAACAGCAGCUGGUAAAUGGUUCAGAUUUUCCUACGUACGCAUCUAGUGUAUGUGUAUGAAUCAGUUUCGUUGUCAAUAUUAGUAAAAUAAUAUAAAAGACAAGAGAACUUAUCUAACAAUGGAUAUUUGCUGGGGUUUUGACCAAACCCACCAACAACCUACCUCUGAGCCUGGAUAGGCAAGCAGCCUUGUAGCUGCACAGGGUCCGGAAGGUACUCUGGUGCCGUCUCGUGGACAUCUGCUCUGACAGCAACUCUCAGGAUUUCCUCCUCUCUCUGCAUUGCCCUUGGGCAAUAUGCCCGUUGGUUUUCCUUCCCCCUCUUUCUUUAAAUACCGAGAAGUGCUCCACUAAGUAAGCUGUCUCGCUGAAUGUCUUCCAAGACACUGAGGCCAACCUACACCAGAACAAUCCAUUCACAACCUCAGCUCCAACCCAUCAUGUCAUGACAGCCUUAUUCAAUUUUUCAUGUAUUUGUGCACUUAUGUUUCUAUGAAUGUAACUGUGUAUGGAUGUAAUUAUUGAUUUUCUUGACCUUGGGAACAUUACCCAUUCAUGCCUACCUAUCUUUCUUUGUUUCUUCCUUCUUUUCUUUCUCUCUUUCUUGACCCCAGCUGAAGCAUAAGUGUGUUGUCUGCCCAUCGACAUAUUUCAAGGAAGAGAAGUUAUCAAUCCCACCGCAGGGACAAAGGCAGAUCUUUACCCAGGGAGCCAGGAGGGAUCUCUGAGAGAGCUUUUCUUUAUAUCAAUCUACCUGCCUUAAUUCCCCAGACCUUGCUUUUGAUCAGGUCUUCCUACCAGGUGUAUAGAGAGAAAAAAUGAGGCUCACAUGAAAAGAAAGGAACAGAGUUUCAGGAGACCUCUUGAGAGAAAAGGCACAAGAUUUAGAGCAGCUGCUCACCAAUCCAUCCUCCACUCACCUCCCGCAGGCACUUGAUCCAGAUCACAAACCCCCGCUCAGCCUGGGGUUUCAAAAAUGCCAGCUCCGACUUCACAAGCCAUGGUGCCAACUGUGACACUGGGGACUUGUCUGGCCAGGUUGUGAUCUCCAAAUGCAGCUCUUAUCACAGCCCCAGCAGUGACAGAGACAAGCUCAUAACCAGGCAGCCAUGAGGGAACUCCAUGAGAGCUUUCUCGAUAUCAAUAAACUUUGCCUAAUUCAUCAGACCUGGGUUUGGUCAGGCCUCCAUAGCCUGGUGUGGUAGUGAAACAGAGGCUUCUGUGGAAAGGCAAGGGGGAAGUUUCACUAGGUCUCUUGAAUGAAAAAAAGCAUAAGGAUUAGUACAGCCACCAGCCAAAAUACCACCGAAUUCCACCAUCCAUUCAUCAGCACCAGCCUAUAUCCUGAUACCUAAACCCGCGACAAUCGGGGGCUUGACAAUUCCCAGCACGUGAAUCAAAACAGAGAGUGUGUGGGUCCCAGCUCCUGCCUCUGGAAGAACAGAAGGCAAUCUGAAACCCAGUGAAACCCUCAAGCAUUCUAAAUGCUCUGCCAACUGACCAGGCUGCAAAUCCACAUCCAGUGCUGAAGAGACACCUGUUUCCUCUGCCUGACAUGAGGCAUCUUGGAGCAGAGUCACCAGAGCCUGGAAAGCCAUGCCAAACCUCUGACUGCUGGCUGGAGGUUCUACCAAAACCACCAUCAACCUCACCUCUGAGCCUGCACUCACAGCCUUGAAGCUGCACAGGGGUCCAGAAGGUACUAUGGCUCUGUCUUGGGGACAUCUGCUCUAACAGCAACUCUCAGGCUUUCCUCCUCUCUGGCUCAGCAGCCCCCGGGGCUGUAUUGGCCUUGGGCAAUAUGCAGGUCAGCUUCCUUCCCCCUCUUUAUUACUGAGAAGCGCCUGCCAAUAUGGGCUAUAUCUCUCUCAAAGUCUUUCAGAGCAGUGAGCCCAACUUAACUCCAAUCCUAACCCUAACCCUCUAAUCCUAACCCCAAACCCUAAGCCUCUAACCCUAACCUCUCACCCCAAGCCAAACCCUAACACCGAACCUGAUCCCAAAGCCCAACCAGAACCCAAACCCUGACCCCUAACCCCAACCCUAAACCCUAACCCUAACCCAUCAGGUGCCUAUGGUUGUGGGAAAUGGGCCUUGCUCCUCAGGUUCUGUACAAAGAGCAUGUGGAGUCCUGAGGGUCAAGGUAGACGUGGGGCUGCAGCUCUAGCUCAUUUUCUAAUUUUAUCUGGCUCACGAGUGGGAGACUAUUUCAAGAAGAUUCUCUCCUCAUGAGAGAAAUCCUGUAAGAAGGGAGAAGAGGGGAGGUGGGUGGAAACAGGGGCCGGGUACCCUGGUGCAUUGGAAGCCUCUGGAAGACCCACUGGAGGGAGGCUGCACGGAGAAACGUCCAGGGGCACAGACCUGCCCAGCAGCUGCUGUUAGUUCAGACACUGCUCUAAGGUGAGCUCCAUAUCCUGGGAGGAGCCUGCCCUCGUGAGCUCCAGGGGCUUCUGGGUUAUUGCUCUGGUG
Molecule: long non-coding RNA, 5849 nt
Filed under: Sus scrofa (pig)
Lineage: Eukaryota; Metazoa; Chordata; Mammalia; Artiodactyla; Suidae
Source: RNAcentral